Molecule: non-coding RNA, 1928 nt
Filed under: Pongo abelii (Sumatran orangutan)
Lineage: Eukaryota; Metazoa; Chordata; Mammalia; Primates; Hominidae
Source: RNAcentral
CACAAACAACUUUGAGUCCCGGGAGGGCGGAGGUGGAGAGAGAUUCUCCGCUUGGAUAAGGGCGCUGGAUAGCCGAGUACUCUCUUUUGGGGCUGUUGGCGGUCUCCGGAGUCUCGGGAGCGCCUUGGUGUCCCUUCCCAGGGCUCGGGUUCCUUUGAGAGAAUCAAGAGGGAGGUGUUUUUCACUAGGACUCGCGGCGGGCCCCACCUGCCUACCGUGGCCGGCUGGGAGCGAUUACAGCAGGGUCUGCCCGUCCGACGACGGCGGCUCCAAUCUGGGGUCCCGCCGGCACCGACCCUCAGCUCUCUCCCGAUACCCGCUGGCCUCUCACAGCCUUUGGUGGCACUCGCCGCCACGGGGAGGGUGAGAUCAAAGAGGCAGACCUAGGCCAGGAGGGACAGCCAGGGCUCCUUCCCGCGGGCCAGCCUCUCGUCCUUCCUCCCGGGAGGGGGCUCUUUCCCUUUUUCCGGAUGCGGGCCUUUGAGAGUCAGCGACGCCUUAGACUCCUCCCAGAAAAAUACACCCUCAUCUACCCAAUUCUGCCCUACCCUUUGGAGCUCCUGGACCCGCUGACAGCUCGGUGGGGUCAGAGCCCACCCCCGGAAGGGCCGCUGGUCAGGGACGGGUUCGCCCUCUCCUGGCCUCCUUGGACCAGCGCGCGGGGAGGAUCCCGGUAACGCCGGGCGCCUGCAGACCUUGAGUGGCCUCACCCUGGUGACCUCCCCGGGAAAAGCUGGGCCGUGCUUCCACACUGAGGGCCACUUGUUAAUUUGCACGAGAAAGUGCUGCCGAGGGCCCACACGUGUGAAUCCACCUGUGGAGUGCGUCCCCUCUCUGGGGGCAAGGCCUAGGGGAGGCCGAAGCGGAGAAGUUGCCGGAAGACUGGGAAGUAAGAGCAGGGGCGUCGGAGGAAUCGAAGUUGCAGUGACAUCAGGCUCGGACAUCCGGCGGACUCCUCUCAAGGUGAUCGGAUACUUCCGAGAGCCCCACAGCCCUCCUGGGCCUUUGCCCUCGCGUCUGGGAUGCCUUCGGGCGCCCCCAGUCUGCAAUGCGUUCGUACUUCCAGUAGGGUGAGGUUUUCGCCCGGCCCCUCUGCGAACAGUCUCCGCCCUUCUCCACUGUGAGAUAUUUCACAGUUUCACCCGCAGAGGGCAACCUUAUUCCAAGUUCCUGAGCGCCCUAGGCCUCUUUCCCCUCCCUGCCUAACUGGCCUCAAACUUCUUCAUGGGAAAAAACGGCUUCUCUUUUUUAAUUGAAUGAACUAGAAGAAGUUCAUUGUUAUUCAUCAACUUCAAAGAGACUAUAUGAGGCCCCUUGGCCAGGACUACAGAGUAGUAUUUUUUAAUCAGAAAUUAUGGCCAAAAAGAAGAGGAGACCAGAACACAUGGAUGAAGAAGGAAGGCAUUAAAAAUUAUGUAAUUUGCUGGGUGUGGUGGCCCACGCCUGUAAUCCCAGCACUUUGGGAGGCAGAGGCUGGCGGAUCACUCGAGGUCAGGAGUUCGAGACCAGCCUGGACAACAUGGCAAAACCCCGUCUUUACUAAAAAUACAAAAAUUAGCCAGAUGUGGUGGUGGUUGCCUGUAAUCCCAGCUACUUGGGAGGCUGGGGCACGAGAAUCGCUUGAACUUGGGAGGCAGAGGUUGCAGUGAGCAGAGAUGGCGCCACUGCACUCCUGCCUGGGCGACAAAGCAAGACUCCGUCUCAACAUCACUGAACCAGUAGGGGGCAGAGCUGGAAGUUGAGCCUGGGUGUGUCUGACUCCAGAGCCUACACCCUGAGCCUUGACUUUGUGCUUUCUCACAAUGCCUAUGGCUGCUGCUUUAAAACAGUACUUUCCAUUUGCCUUGUUAAAUGGGACUGUAUAUGAAUUAUACUGCACUGUUUAUUUUUAGAGAAAUAAAAGAACCUAAUAAAGGAAUCUGACACGG